AUUGAACGCUGGCGGAAUGCUUUACACAUGCAAGUCGGACGGUAGCACAGAGAGCUUGCUCUUGGGUGACGAGUGGCGGACGGGUGAGUAAUGUCUGGGGAUCUGCCCGAUAGAGGGGGAUAACCACUGGAAACGGUGGCUAAUACCGCAUAACGUCGCAAGACCGAAGAGGGGGACCUUCGGGCCUCUCACUAUCGGAUGAACCCAGAUGGGAUUAGCUAGUAGGCGGGGUAAUGGCCCACCUAGGCGACGAUCCCUAGCUGGUCUGAGAGGAUGACCAGCCACACUGGAACUGCGACACGGUCCAGACUCCUACGGGAGGCAGCAGUGGGGAAUAUUGCACAAUGGGCGCAAGCCUGAUGCAGCCAUGCCGCGUGUAUGAAGAAGGCCUUCGGGUUGUAAAGUACUUUCAGCGGGGAGGAAGGCGGUGAGGUUAAUAACCUUGCCGAUUGACGUUACCCGCAGAAGAAGCACCGGCUAACUCCGUGCCAGCCGCCGCCGUAA
This 504-nucleotide ribosomal RNA is filed under the name uncultured bacterium. RNAcentral describes it as "partial 16S ribosomal RNA". It matches the Rfam family "Bacterial small subunit ribosomal RNA", at positions 30 to 523 of the family's 1533-position model. The record is from RNAcentral.